Molecule: ribosomal RNA, 253 nt
Filed under: uncultured bacterium
Lineage: Bacteria
Description: partial 16S ribosomal RNA
Rfam family: Bacterial small subunit ribosomal RNA
Source: RNAcentral
UACGUAGGGUGCGAGCGUUGUCCGGAAUUACUGGGCGUAAAGAGCUCGUAGGUGGUUUGUCGCGUUGUUCGUGAAAACCUGAGGCUUAACCUUGGGCGUGCGGGCGAUACGGGCAGACUGGAGUACUGCAGGGGAGACUGGAAUUCCUGGUGUAGCGGUGGAAUGCGCAGAUAUCAGGAGGAACACCGGUGGCGAAGGCGGGUCUCUGGGCAGUAACUGACGCUGAGGAGCGAAAGCCAGGGGAGCAAACGGG